This 790-nucleotide ribosomal RNA is filed under the name Cryptococcus sp. 3 AP-2015. RNAcentral's name for it is "eukaryotic LSU rRNA". The stretch from base 178 to 790 matches the Rfam family "Eukaryotic large subunit ribosomal RNA", at positions 1 to 624 of the family's 3401-position model. The record is from RNAcentral. Lineage: Eukaryota; Fungi; Basidiomycota; Tremellomycetes; Tremellales; Cryptococcaceae.
CCUCAGGUUUUAUUAUCUGUUGGGCUUGGAUUUGGGUGUCUGCCGCGACCUGCAAAGGACGUCGGCUCGCCUUAAAUGUGUUAGUGAGAAGUUGACAACCUGUCAGCCUGGCGUAAUAAGUUUCGCUGGGUCUCUGGGGUAGUCUUCGGCUUGCUCAUAACAACCAUCUUAUAAUCUUGACCUCAAAUCAGGUAGGGCUACCCGCUGAACUUAAGCAUAUCAAUAAGCGGAGGAAAAGAAACUAACAAGGAUUCCCCUAGUAACGGCGAGUGAACCGGGAAGAGCUCAAAUUUGAAAUCUGGCGUCCUCAGGGCGUCCGAGUUGUAAUCUAUAGAAACGUUUUCCGUGCUGGACCGUGUCCAAGUCCCUUGGAACAGGGUAUCAAAGAGGGUGACAAUCCCGUACUUGACACGACCACCAGUGCUCUGUGAUACGUUUUCUACGAGUCGAGUUGUUUGGGAAUGCAGCUCUAAAUGGGUGGUAUACUCCAUCUAAAGCUAAAUAUUGGUGGAAGACCGAUAGCGAACAAGUACCGUGAGGGAAAGAUGAAAAGCACUUUGGAAAGAGAGUUAAACAGUAUGUGAAAUUGUUGAAAGGGAAACGAUUGAAGUCAGUCGUGUCUAUUGAGUUCAGCCAGUUCUGCUGGUGUAUUCUCUUUAGACGGGUCAACAUCAGUUCUGAUCGGUGGAUAAAGGCAGGAGGAACGUAGCUCUCUUCGGGGAGUGUUAUAGCCUCUUGUCGCAUACACUGGUUGGGACUGAGGAAUGCAGCUCGCCUUUAUGGCCGGGGU